CCCCCCCCCCCUCCCCACACUCUCUCUCUCUCUCUCUCUCACACUUCGGAAAUCUCUUCAUUGUCUCAUCUCUACCACUACCCACAAACCCACAGCCACAGCCACCACCACCCACAACCACCACCACCACCACCACCCACAACCACCACCACCACCCAAAAAUCAAGCCUAGUUAGGUCCAAAAACAAAUGGGUCAGGUCUAGCCCGACCCAUUUCUCUCAUCCGAACUCUCUUAACAGAAACCCAUGGCUUGAGCUACCUGAUCUCAUCACCUCAAACCGGCACCGCCACCACUGGAAGCGGCUUGCUCCUCAUCAAAAACCCUUACCGAGAUCUCUCUAAUCUAGGUUCGAGCUCUCUCUCUCCCUCUAGACCUUGAUCGACCUUUCCGAUCAACAUUCCUUUGAGCUUUGAAUUCGACCACUCUGUUUUGUCCAACUUGGCUCGCAAAGUUCCAGGCACUAGUGAAGCGAGGAAACGCAGUGAACACACUACACAACACAAUCACUUUUGAAAGUUCUCAAGAAAGAAUAGGAGGAAAGGAGAGCCAAAGAAGAGAAUACAGGCAAAACCAUAAGAACUGAUUGCAAAAAGAAGAGGCACUAUAAGUUCGUGUGAUCAAAGCAAGUGAAGUUGGUGAAAGACUUAAGGUAUUUCUUGCAAAUUACUUUAUAGCAAUGGAUAAGAGUUGGAUGAAAAUUACUAAUAGAAGGUCGCGAGAAUAUUUAGAUGGAGUUCAACAGUUUCUGAAUUUUGCAUCUAACCAUGCAUAUUCAGAUGGAACAAUUUCAUGUUCGUGUAAA
Molecule: long non-coding RNA, 803 nt
Organism: Quercus lobata
Lineage: Eukaryota; Viridiplantae; Streptophyta; Magnoliopsida; Fagales; Fagaceae
Exons: 5
Source: RefSeq, a predicted model, not a curated record